Molecule: long non-coding RNA, 1297 nt
Filed under: Mytilus galloprovincialis (Mediterranean mussel)
Lineage: Eukaryota; Metazoa; Mollusca; Bivalvia; Mytilida; Mytilidae
Source: RNAcentral
GUUUUUAAAAAUAUCCUGAUUCUUACUAAAAGAAAAGAAAAUGAUUUUUGUUUCACUAUGGAUAACAUUUCAAAAUAUAAAUAUUGCAUAUAAGUAGUCAAAUGUUUUAUGUCAACCCUGAAACUACAUCAUUGUGUUCAGGGGAGACAAUCUGAAAAGAAACUUGCAGCAUGAUUACUUAAUAAAAUAUUUUUAAGUACACAUUUUGAACUCUUAAAAAACAAAAAUCUGAACUGAAUAUAUUCUAUAACAAACUUCUGCACAAAUAACUAAUCUAAUAAACCAACAGUAAAGUGACCAGCAAUUUGUUAACUGCAGUAAAUACAUAAUUCCAAAUUCUAAAACAAUUAAUUUCAAUAAAUAUUGCACAUAUUAAUAAUAUAUAAUCUCCUUUUACAACAAAUCAUUUCUGUAAAAUAUAAAUUUCUCGUAAAAAUACAUCAAUUUAAACAAAAUAAUAUCCUCAACAACCUCUUUUCAACAACUAUUUGUAUAUUGCACAUUAUAAUAAGUGGUAUAUUUGCUAACCAAUGAAUUCAGUCCCUCUCCUAUACCUAUCUCUCCUACUAGUGAUGGUCUGAAUUCUUUAUACAUGUUCAACACAUUCUGGAUUUUGACUGGUGCUCCUCAGAGAGUCAGCCAAUUAGUAGGUUAGCUAAAUUUUUUUUUUUUCAUUGACUAAGCAUUCAAGCGUUAUUGUAGUCAUCAUAGAACAGUGGAAUGUACUGAAUGAAUGGAGAAACAGAUUAAAAUAUAAAAAGCCAAUAAAUAUAGUCUGAAAAUAGAACUUGAAAAACACUUUUAAAUCAAGAAAAAACAGUCGUUCAUAGUUAGUUUACAAAGCAACUUCAAAACAGUCAUUUCAGUGUGUUCUCCCAGGUGUAUGCAAUGCUCAUGGAACAUGAUAAUAUUAAACAACCUAAUAAAUAAAUGCCCCUUUACAUCAAUGUUCAACCUGUAAAAUCAUUUUUAAUAAUUAGUCAAAGCAAAUAGGUUAUAAUACCAUGUUAAGACAGACUAUUUACCAUAACAAUAAUACCUCUUGGUUUUUUACAGCACCAUACAUAUAUUUUAGUCAACAAUUUAAUGCUAUUAUAACUGAUAUAAUAUGCUAUAUAAUAUUAUAUAAACUAUAUGCUUAUAAAACUUAUAUGAAAACUAAAAUUAUAAGUCUUCCUUAUGAUCUUCAAAAAGAACUUCCACCAUUAACUUUUCAUGGUAGAAUUUCUGUCCUUCUUUCUUGUGAGGAUUAUCUAGUUCUUCCCUGGUCAGAACCAAUCUAAAUUAAUAUACAAAA